Non-coding RNA from Coturnix japonica (Japanese quail), 9611 nucleotides. Lineage: Eukaryota; Metazoa; Chordata; Aves; Galliformes; Phasianidae. The record is from RefSeq and is a predicted model, not a curated record.
UCCAGCCUUGGUGAUUCUGUAAUUCUGUAAUUCUAUGAUUUUGUGUUUCCUUACCUCACUGUUCUUGCACAGCUGGAUCUCAGUAUAUGUCAGUACCAGGAGGUGGCAGUGGUAAGUGGUAGUAGACCGGAACAGAAAACUAGUCGGUAAAAUGUCUGUUGAUGCAAAGUAUGUCUACAGCUGUGUGAACCUUUGCGAAGAUCUAUACAUCCCUUUCAGUUUUAUUUAGCAGCCUGCAGAGGGUGAGAGACAGUCCAUUUCCAGACAAAAUCCUCAGUUCAGUCACGAAAAGGCAGCACAGGAGUUUUAUAGGUUAUAUGAUAUGGAAAGAUGAGCUGCUGCUAGCAAGGAGAGCAUUGUGAUUCCCUUGCAGUAUUUGAGAAUAUCACCAAGCUAUUAACAGAUCAGAAAACAGUACUUAAUCCUCCCAAAACAUACUUGAGAAUGUUUUGGCACUUGUGGGGAGGCAGAAUUAAGUAGCAACAGCACAUUAUUAUUAUUAUUAUUAUUAUUAUUAUUAUUAUUAUUAUUAUUAUUAUUAUUGUUUUAUUAUUAUUAUUAUUUGGUGGUUCAAGUCAAUAAAUGACCCAAGUACCUUCAUUUCCUCAAAUGAUGGCAGUGCUUGGUGUCUAGGUCCAAGACAGUCCUGGGUCAAGAUAGUUGCUUAGCCUGUUAGCCACCAGAAAAGGGAAUUUCUGUUACAGUGUUUAUUAGACACUGUUGUGUGGAUGUUGAUACUCUGCAAGAUAUCAGAAGCUGUCCAGUUGAAGAACUGUAAACUUAUUUUUCAGCAAUCAUGUAUGCAAGGAAGGGAAUGAUCCAAACUGGAGAAUAAAAGAAAGGACUGGACAGACAGAUGUUGGCCCACCUUGGUUUGGGUUCUGAUGCACACCAUUACACUGACACUGCCUGUCAUGCGGCAAAGCAAGUUAUAUUGAAAAGUCCAGAAUCACUGUUGUGUGCAUGUUUUUCCCUUGAAGCUGCGUAGAAGACCAGUGGCAACCCACCUCUACUGAGGGCAGGCUUUUCCUCCAUCUCCAAUAGCAAAGAGGCAGUAUUUCUUUGAAAAUGUGACAAGUGCUUGCUAUAACUCUUGCUUUGAUGUUUUGAGAUGCUAGGAUUAUGUUGUUCAAACCUCCCCGCUUUCUAAGAAGACUUAAAACUAUGCUUUUGGUCUCCUAAGAGAGUUUCCAAGCCAUGUAAACAAGCGAUGUCUUCCUCAAAGCUCACUCCAAAGCUCAGUCCAGUGCUUUCCAAUUUCAUUUCCUAGGAUCAGUGGGGCAUUAACAUGAGGUACCCAAAAAAGGUAGCACCUCAAGCUCAGCCAUGCAUGAAGCUUAUUCUGACAUGCCUGAGGAGGAAGAUCUAGCAGGAAAACUAAAUCAAUUGUGGGAUAUUGGAGGAUGCAAUGUUUUUAGGCAGUUGAUGUGGCAAAUUUUGAUUGGCUGUAAAAGCCCAUUUCUUCUCAAUAUGCAGGCUUCACGUAAUAGUGUUGCAAACUGCCCCAGGCCUGGGAAUAAACUGGUUCUUGCUUUUCCUAUUUUAGCUCUGUGAGAGAGUAUAAAGGAACCAAUACAGCUAAUAAAAGAGUGAUUGAUUUAGUCUGUCUAGUGAUGGUUGUCUCUGAUUGUAUCACCAGCUUUUCUCAAAGAAGUUACCAUAGUAAUGAAAAAUAUCUGCAAGGUCGUGGAGAUUUUUAGGGACAACAAAUGUACAGUAUGGUGUCCAAGAAAAAGUGAUCAAGCAGAAGCCAGGUAGGGUGUUUAACUUAGAGGAGAAUGUUUUGCCCAAAUAUUCAGCACAAUUCAAUUUUUAUGCAGUAGGAACUGACCUACCAUUUAUUUAAUGUCAUCUUUUUUUUCUAGCAUUUAAUCGAUAUUAAUUGAUCCUUAUUGUUCUUAAUUCAACUUAAUGAAGUGUUGUGUGUUUGAAACAGCCAUAUAGCUGAUGAAGGAGACAGAACAAUUACUUCUGUUUUUUUCUGCGUUUUUAUAUAAUUAAUGCAUUUUUAUCUCAGUUUUACUUUGGAAUUCCAAAUUCAAGUAUCUUAAUAUCCAGAAAAAAUAGGAAAGUAGGAAAGCUGCUAAAAUAUAUGCCAGAGUAUUAGUAGCAACAUUUGAAGUAAGCUUAUUUUAUGUUCUCUUCCCUCAGAUGAGAAGUUUUUGGUGGUUGUUGGAGAAUUUAGGUCAAGCUACAGUAGACAGAGACUUUGAAUAGAGUUAACAGCAGCUUGAAGACCCCUGUUAGUUUGCAGGCUCCAGACUCUCAGUUGAGCUUUAUGAGAGAUGCUGUGAAGUGAAGGAUAACUCAGGGACCUGUCAGUGAUAUCAGUCAUCUCCCUCCUUUCCUUCUUUGUUAUUUAAAACACAAAAAGCAUUUGUUCACCUUUUCUUUAAACACCAGUUUAAAAAACCAAAUGUAUGCUUCAAGGGUCUGGUGAGCUCAGGAAGGGGCUGUGGGGACGGCUGUUAGCAGUUCUGAAGGCUCCUGAGAAGACUUUCCUUGCUCAGAGCUAUGUGAAAUAUUUGAGCAGGGGUGAGAGGAGAAAGCUGACAUUUGGAUUAAGAAUUGUUGAGCACUAAGUGUUUCUGAGACUGAGGAUUUGGCAGCAAAUAAGGUGAAUUGAAGUGUAGCUUAUUUUUUUGCCUGAGUUUCCAGGGUCCACAGGUCACUUGUCCAGGAAGCAGACUGAUUGCUGAGGGAGGAGUGGAGCUGGAAAAAUAUUUUCUUACUGAGGAUGCUUUCACAGGUGCUCUUCCCGUUUGCUGAUUAUUCCCAAGCUUUUUUUUCCUCCAACUAUGUAAGGCUCACCUACAUCUGGGUGCCAACGCUUGCUCCUGAAAGGUGAGGUUUUGCUGAAUUGUCAGGGCAGGACACUUCACCUUAGCCUUGUGUUUGGUCUUUAGAUGUCUGUGAUCAUACAGCACCUCUAACUAGAGAUUGAUUGUUUCACCUACAGGAUUUUGUUCAAAUGUUUUCAUUCACUGCAACCAUUGAGGCACUGGCAGAAAAUAAAGAAGUACAAAGAAACACGUAUUGAAAUGCCAAUUAUUUUCCUCAGCUGGUUUCAUCUGAAACAUCUGAAAUAAUUUUUUUUGUAAUUAAAUUCCUUGACAAAGAGGAAUUACUUAACAAGAAGUCUUGCAGUGCAGGACAAGGAGCUAGAAUCCAGAAUCCUGGAUGCUGGAAGAAGGGCAUCCAUGCACAAUGGUGGUCCUCGUAAACUCUCUGCUGAAAGUUUUUUGUAGUACUUAGGGGUUGGAACAAAAGACAGAAGAAAAUUCAGCUGAAGAGGAUUUAGUAGAUUCCAAAAUAUUGGUAGGAUUGUUGAUGCGUUCAAUUACAGUGCAAUGAUGUUCAACUUCUGUAUGCAGAAAAUCCCACUCUUGGGAGUGAUCAUUUACAUUCCAUGGAUCCUGUCCACAGGGGCUGAGCAGCUUCACCGUGCAAGCAAUCCUGCCACACCAGCUCGGUUUGAUAUUUCAGCUGUAGCUCGUAUGGUUCCAGCGGCAGUGAAGGAAUGAGGGGAACACUCCCACAUGCCUUGCUCUCCAUCCAAGGCUGCCUGCGUGUAGGGAUCCCUUGGCGAGUUAACACUCGCUGUUGAGUACAUAGAAGUGAGGGGGACCUUUUAAACACCACGUUCACAUCAUUGUGCACAGAUUCUUUUCCCAAGAUAAAGAUCUUUCGACAUUGAUUGCAGGAAGCUUCUCCUGUCACCAAAUGAGCAAGCAUGAAAUACACAUAAAAAUAAACGUGCCUUGGGAAUUAUCAAAAUAUAUACGUAUAUAUUAAAAAAAAAGCAGGUGAUGAGACACUGAUUCAAGAGAGUGCCCAGUUACCUGCCCAGGUGCUUGCCUGAAAAACUCAUAAUCCUGUGAGCAAGCAGCCUGGGGUUUUUGUAGGGCCACGUUAAAGCUUGUAAGGCAUUGUUUUGAAGUGUUGCUGACUCUUCCUUCUGUUCAUUGCAGAUCUCAUUAGGAAAUGAAGGAGAGGAAACUGGGCAACCAUACUGCUUGGCCACGAAGCAAUGCACAAUGAGCAUAAUGAAGCCAGCAGCUGCAGGACAAUGCAAGCAGGCUGGGGCUAUUUUUGUUAGAUGUGAACAUGUGAGACCUUAUUGUGCUCCCUCCCCACCUUCUCCCCCUUCCUCAAAUGCUGGAAAUUUUCCCAAAGAGAAACGGUUUUCCUUUUCUCUUUGUAAAGCUGAUUAUCAUCAUAAUUUUCUCUUUCAUCUCCAAGCAGGUUUCUUUUGGAAGUCUGUGGCAGUUUCCUCUAAGCACAGUUGUUUGACUGUGUGGGAGUGAUGGGUGGCUGGGUCACACUGGGCACCAGGAGGCCUUGGGCAGCAUUCUUAGCAUUUAGGGGGUGUGAGGGACCCCUGACCCCUCUGUGGCUGCACACAAAUGAUGGAACCCUUGUCACAGGGUUAUCCUCACAGCAGAAACGUGAGUUUGGACAGGGCACAGGUCUCACAGAUGAAAAAUAAACAACAAGUGUUUGUAUUUGAGAUGCAUUGAGAAAAAAAAUAUAGAAUUAGGAUGGUACUCAUUGCUGCAAGUCUGAAUUAUCUCUGUCUUCACGCCUUCCUUGCCGGAGCAGCCCUUUUCAAUGUAUAGUAACAUUAGCUCUGGCUGACAAAUGGAAAAAUAUGCAAGGACAUAGACCUGUGAUUUAUGAUGUUAAGUGUGAAGAAAAGAAAAAGCAUAAUUUGGUCUCUUUCUAAACAGGAAUACAUUCUUCCUUUCUGCUAAGACAUAAAUGUAUUACCCCUCCCCAAAACAGUAAUGUUAUAUCUAUAUCUUUUCAGUGUACUGUGUCAAUAGCAGAUAUACUACCUUAGGUUCUCAUGCUUCAUAAUUAUGAAAGGAAUAUUAAUUUGGAAAUGGGCUUUCCUAACAUCUGAUAUUUCACUGAAGCAGCACUUACAGAUUUGCUAUUAAUAUUUUUUCAUUUUCAGUUGUUUAGUGUGCAAAUCUUUUUCCCUUUGCAAAGCAGCCUAUUAGUCACACACAAUCAAUACUUUCUGCACUUCUACCUAUUAUCUUAAUGUCACUGAGAUCUGGCUGGAUCUUCAUACAAUUCUUGCUACCACUUUAAUUUCAUUAUAAUGAUGUGUUUACCUUGGUAAUAGUUUAAUCAAAAUUGGAUGUGUUUAUAACACUGCAGCUUAGAUUAACAGCUUAUUUCUAUUUUACUACGAGGAAACCAUAAAAUUGACUGUAAUUCCUAAUCAAUACAGCUAUAAUUCUUAGAAUUUAAAUAGGCUUUUAAAUGGCCUUGCCUAUGCUACUAAAGGUGACAUGGCUGUCCUGUAAUUAGUCUUUGACAGAAUCCAUUUCCAAUCAGUCAGUUGUUUCACUCUACUUCCAGUUGUCAAAAAAUGCUGAAUUUACUUACAGAUAUUUUUGUUCUUUUUUUCCCUUUUCCUACCCCCUUUCCUUUACCCGGACUUGGCUGAAUGAUAGUGAUGUUGUAUUAUAACAGCAAGAAGUGCAACAACUCACGACUGAAUCCAUCUUCAUAAUGCACACACACACCUACUGCAGAGGAGAUGCUGGUGAGCUGUGCCUGCUAUCUCCUCUGGAGCCUCUGCCUUUGGAGUCAUUGCUUUUCUCUCUGCAUCUCAUCUCCUUUGGGUCUCCUAGCAUAAAGGAUCUACAAAACCUCUUCCUGAAAUAGCUGGAACUGAACUUAUUUCUAGGUUCUGCACCCCUCCCUGGAAAGACUGCAACCCUGUGAACUUGGCUCUGAAUUGCCCAGUGAAAUGCCUGCAAACUGCAGCUCUGGUUCAUCGGUGCUGCAGGGUAUUGAAGAGCUCUUUCAUCAAGGAGAGAUGACAGCUUUCUUUUCAAAUCAACUCACUUAAGGGGAAAAAAAUAGGAGAGGAACGGGAAGGAAAAGCUCUCAUCUCACACAGUUCAGAGCUCAUUUUUUGUGGUAUUGGAUAUGGACAAUACUUUUAAUCCAUUUAGUGAGCCUGAGUUCAACAAACACAGACUCCCUCCCCACUGUCUCUAAUGCAUUUCCAGCCUGCUACUGGGAUGAGGAAGCAAGAAGGAUCUUGUUGCUGUGAACACCUACUGCCCGGGACUGCAAAGGCCGUCCCUUUUCCCAGGGAAGAGUCUUGACAGUUUAGCAAUGACAGGUUAUUAAUACUUCUGAUGGCUUCAAGUGCAAUAUCAGAUUUGCUGCCUGGCUGGGGGUUUGUCUAGACGGGCUGUUUUAUUAGAUAGCAGAUGGCUGGGAAGUGGUGUGCUGUGACAGAGCUUACUGACUGGAAUGUGAAUUCUCUGCUCCUGGAUCAGAAUGAGAAGGGGCUGGGCUGGAGGAUGAGGAGAGCACAACUCCCAUGUCCCUAUCCAGUGGAAAAAGCACGUGUAUUUUAUAGAGGGAAAUGAGCUUAACUGCACACAUCUCAGAUUCUAAAGCAACUCCAAUCAAUCACGGAAUGAAUUUCCCUAAUACCUACUGUGUGCUAAUACUGGGAAAGUGAACUUAGAGUGUUUGACUGCUUAAUAUUUGUGAUUUUGGUCUAGAUGAAUGAGCAGUAGCAGAGUAUAUUGUCUGGACAAAAAUACAAGUGUCUAUCCACAUUCUGCUAUCAGGUAAUUGGAUCUGUGCUGUUUUUCGGACCCGUGUGGGUAGAAGUUCAGGCUGCCUCUUUUGCAGGGAGGGCUGAGAAGAAAGUGAAGAACUGGUGAGGAGUUUGGAUUUCUGCUUCACUCUGGGCCAGUCUCUGCACACUCAGAUGAAUUUAUUCGCACCAGAGGCAGCAGUUCUCUCUCCUCAGCAACAGCACGUGGCUCUACAGAUGGGCUGUGUGUGUCAAUAUGGACCUAAGUGUGAAGUUUGAAAUGAUUUCCCCUCCUUCUUCCCUGACACAAAGUCUCCUGGGUAGGAACUGGUUACCGAUGGCAGAACAGCAUUUCCAAGCAGAAGAUAGGCCAUCUGCGCUUUCAGGCGCUUCAGCUUGUAUCCCCAGAGCCAGGCUGUGUGCUGGUGAAAAGAAAAUAACAAGCCCAUGGCAUGUUAAAACUGACAGCCUGCAACCCGGGUGGGUAUAAUGCAGUAGCACAUGAGCACAUUUUGGGGUUGUGAUUUGAAGCUAAGUGGUACUUCUUACUUCCGAAUGGUCCUAAGAGAUGUCUGUGGGGGGAGAUGGCUGUGCUUGUGGAAGUGUGGAGGAACAAAGACUUGGUGCAUGUUUCUCAGGAGAUGGCAUCAUUGUACAUUUCUACCAUUGUGGUUAAUCAUAGUUUUGGAGAGAGUUUGUACCAGUUUGGCUAUUUCCACUGUCAUUCAAUCACAGCAUCUGCAGAAGUGGGACUGCAAAGUCACAGCUGGUUCAGGCAGGCAAAACCUGCCAGGGGUCCUGCAUCACUGUUCUGUGCUAGACCAUCAGCCACCAAACCUGGUGGGAUGAUUCCCAAGUGAUACAUUUUCAACCAGAUUUAACAGCAGUGAACCAUCCACCCUAUUAUCUUCACUCUGCCAACAGGUAUUGACAACUUUUUUAAUACAAGGGAAUGCGUAUCAUUGACGUCAGUGGUGGUAAUAAUUCUUGUGAUUGUUUCCCAUGCAGACUUAUGCCAGUGGCAAAGCUGCUUGGUCAGGGGAGAAGAGAUGCCAAAUUUGGCAGUGAUGUGCCAAGCAGUGUUUGCUAACACUGACUAAUGACUGCCGUGGUGCUGAGGGCAUGCAAGCAAUGUGUUAUUUCAAUCUCCAAACACUUCAAGCGAGAAUUUAGACCUUAUACUAAUUUUUAUAUAUUUAAUUUAUAAAGGUCUUUCUUGUCUGACUUCACUUUACCAGUCUGUGCCUGUUACUCAUCAACUAAUUGGCUAAAUGGUACCAGCCAAGCAUUGCAGACACCUUAGCUCUCAAAUAGUGGGAGACUUUUGGACUAGUGUGAGUUCACGGGCGAAUGGAUGUGCAUGAUGAAGGGAUUUCAGGUUUAUCAGUCAAUAAUACAGUGGCAUCAGGAUGUCUGGAGUUAGUACUGUUAAUUUAUUUAGUGCAAUUCCCUAGGAUGAGUAAAUGCAUUUUUCUGUACACAAGAAGCUAAUGCUUGACGAUAGCUGCACAUUGCCAUAGAAACCAAGCCAGGUUCAGCUGUAAGUCAAAGGUUAAUUUGUAAUUAUUUUUAAAGUCAUCUCACUGAAAUGCAUCGGUUUAGACAGAACUUGUCCAAAAGCUGACUCCUUACUAAAAAAUCUAUCGUUCUACACUAGCUCUUCCAAAAAUACAUUAACACGGCUCCUGUUUGCUUCAGGCAGAUUCUCCAUAAGGUGUUAUACAAGAUAACUGUCUGGUUUUGAGUGUUUGUAGCUGUGUUUGCAAAUGACAGCAUGACUGACAGCACAAGCUCCCCGUGGGAUGGCUGGGGACCAGAGCACAGAUGACUCAUUGUGUAUGAUGUUGUUUCACACCAAAGUGUUUGCUCUAUAUACUGAACAUGUGUGCGAGUCAAUAGCAAAAAGUUCAAGAGCAAACACAGCUUCAGUGGAAACAAAUUCACAGUGCCUGAAAUCAUUAUACUCCAGUCAGAAAGCUAAUUUCAUUGAGGGCAGCUGGUGAUCAAAAUGCCCAUUUGAACUCCUCUUUAAAGUGGGAAGUUCACACGGAUGGAGCCUAUGUCUUCUUCAAAUGCAGCGUGAACAGAGAAGCCUGACAUUUCCUUCAACAAAAGCCUUUUUGCUCCAGGAGUGGGCAGAAGUGAGUUCAGGCCCCUCAUCAGAACUUCCCAGUACAACAGCAUCAGACAGUAAUCAGAGAAUAUUUUUCUCUUCCAUAACAGACUUUUACCAAAGGAAAGCUUUCUCCUCACCUGUCUCCCCAGCUGCCUUUCUGACAGAGCUGUUUUCAUAUCAGGGGCCAUUAAUGCACUCUGUUGCCAAUUAACCCUCACCUCCAGCCCUUGCAAAUCUACAAGGUGCAUUAAAAGAAAGGGAAAGAAAGAAAGAAAGAAAAAAGGAUAAAAUAACAAAACUCUUCCUGAUUUGAUGCUGCUUUUAGUGUCUCCCAGGGACAACCCCAUUCCCAGGCUGCCAUGGCUAUGCAGAGGUGCCCAUGCAGCAGUCUUGUCUCUUCCCAUCUGAAAUAAAGCAGGUCUGAGAGAGCAGUUCACAUUUUCAGUCCUUUGGAGAGCUGAUGCUGUCCUUGAAUCAUCUCUUCUCUUGGUAGGAAAAGUCUGGGGAGAUUUCAAAUCCCAAGGGAUGCGUGGCUGAAUACAUGAAGGCAAUUUCAACUGUCACAUUGCCUCUUAGUAAGACUUCAGGAGGCCUUUGCACAUUGUCCAUUGAAGCCUGUUGUAGGUGAAGGACUGUUUCAGACAGUGCUUAGGGACAGGGAGCAGAGGGGUCAGCCACCCUGCAGUGCUCCCACAGGUGCUCUCACAGUGGGAGCUGGAGGUAGUGCCAGUGUACUUGGAGAACUCCCUUGGUCAGAAACCCUCACACUUACUCCCUGGACUCUCUGACAAAUCCCUUCUGCAAAGCCUAUGUCCACAUCUCAGAUCUUCUCUUGCAACUCUGGUUUUUCUGGACCUGUGUAGCUAAUGCAGCAAGGGAUUCAUACAGUUAUAGAGUCACCUGAGGCACAGGUGAGCU